Molecule: long non-coding RNA, 1015 nt
Filed under: Junco hyemalis (dark-eyed junco)
Lineage: Eukaryota; Metazoa; Chordata; Aves; Passeriformes; Passerellidae
Description: lncRNA (ENSJHYG00000016759.1)
Source: RNAcentral
UUAAAAUUUAUUUUUUAUUCUUUUUAAUUCCUUUAGUUUUUAUUUCUUUUAAUUUUUUCUUGGUUUUUGUAGUUGUUUAGAUUUGUCUGGUUUUGUUUUUAUUUAUUUCUGUUUAUUUAUUAUUUUUUUAUUGAUUUUUAUUAUUACUUAUAUUGUCUUUAUUUUAUUUUUAGUUAUGUUUUAGAUUUCAGUGAAAUUUUUGGUCUUGUUUUAUUUUUCUGUUUCUGUAUUAUUUUUAUUUUUAAUUUUUAUGUGUUUAUUUGUAUUUUAUUUUGAUUGCUUGUUUUGUAAUGUCUUCAUUUUAUUUCGUCUUUAUUUUUUUAUUUUUAUUUAUUUCAUCUUUGUUUUCUAUUUUUAUUUUUAUUUUUUUAUUCCUUUACUUUUUAUUUAUUUUUAUUUUUUGCUUGUUUUUGUAGUUAGUUUUUUUCCAUUUCUGUUUCUAUUUAUUUUUUGUUUCGUUGUUAUUUAUUUAUUAAUUUUUAUUAUUAUUUAUUUAGAUUUUAUUUUAUUUUUAUCCAUUUUUUCAGUAUUUAGAUUUUAUUUUCAUUUCUGUUCCUGUUUUUAUUUAGUUUUUGUUUCUCUAUUGUUAUUAUUUUUUAAAUUUCCUUCAAUCCCAGAGAUCUUUGGGAAUUCUGGGUGGAUUGCUCUUAAAUCCCAGAGAUCUUUGGGAAUUCCGAAUGGAGCCUGCUCCCUAAAUUCCAGAGAUCAUUGGGACUUUCAUGUGGAUUGUUUCCAUGCCAGUUCCUCAAAAUUCCCAAAAUUUGGGAAUUCCCACAUCCCUAAUUCCCAUCCCACAUCCCAAAUUCCCAUUUUUUUUCCCAUUUUUUCCCUUUUUUUUCCCUUUUUUUCCCCAUUUUUUUCCCAUUUUUCCCCAUUUUCCCCCUCAGUGAAUGGGGUUCUGUGGCCGCAGGAGCCGACACAGCAGCCACACGUUCCAGUGCCGGAUGCUGGUGCAGAUCCCAAAAUUUGGGAAUUCCCACAUCCCAAAUUCCCAUCCCACAUCCCAAAUUCCCAU